This is a long non-coding RNA of Brachypodium distachyon (stiff brome), 630 nucleotides long. RefSeq lists it as uncharacterized. The transcript has 2 exons. Lineage: Eukaryota; Viridiplantae; Streptophyta; Magnoliopsida; Poales; Poaceae. The record is from RefSeq and is a predicted model, not a curated record.
CGACCUUGCCUCUCGCGGAGGGGUUGGGCGGCGGCGAGAGCAAUGCGGCGGUGGAAGGGCGGGACGCGAACGGGGUGGUGGUGCGGGUGGAGGAGGUCGAGGGGCUCGAGAGGUGUGCCGUGGGGGGACCCUACCCAUAGAGUCGGGUUGAAUCAAGAUUAAUAUUGAUGGUUGCUUCUUAGAAGACAAGUCUUGGCCAUUGGGGGGCGAUUGCAAGAUAUCAAAGGGGAAAUUCUAUUUGCGGCAUGGAGAGCAAUUGACCGAUGCGCCGGUGCCCUAGAAUAUGAAGGGGUGGCUUGUCGACAAGGUGUUUAAAACACCAUCAAGAGAAAUAUUUUGCCAAUUCAGGUGAAAUCUUAUUGCCUUGAGCUGCUUGCAGGGUUGUGGACCAAUGCAUGUUUGCACUUUUAAUUUGCAGGUCUAAUGUAAGAGGGAUCCUUAAGGAGAUUCAUGUGUUGCUAGACCUAUCGCUUGGUUUCAAGCUAGAAAAGGCUAAACAAAACCUAAACUUGUCUGCUCUUAGCCUAGGCUAGUAGAAGGGGUUUGUGUUGUGAUGUGUUAACGGGUUCGCUUCCGGCCGGCAUGUCAAAGUGUCUCAACCUUGAUUAUAAUGCUAACGAUGUUCUAAUA